UAAAUAGUCAUUAUUAGGGCCCUAUAAAUUAUGCGAAGAUGCGGAAACCCGCAUAAUUCACAAUUAUCCGCAUAAUUUACAAUUUUCCGCGUAAUCGCAGCAUAUCUGUAUAAUUUUUAUUUUUCAGCAAAAUGUAUUCGUUUACCAGAUAAAUUUCUCCUUAAGGGUUUUUUUUAAAUUGAAAUAUAUCUUCUUUUUCAUUUCCAAGAAUCUUUUUGGUCAG
Non-coding RNA from Parasteatoda tepidariorum (common house spider), 223 nucleotides. NCBI's taxonomy places the organism in Eukaryota, Metazoa, Arthropoda, Arachnida, Araneae, Theridiidae. The record is from RefSeq and is a predicted model, not a curated record.